GACGAACGCUGGCGGCGUGCUUAACACAUGCAAGUCGAACGGAAAGGCCCUGCUUUUGUGGGGUGCUCGAGUGGCGAACGGGUGAGUAACACGUGAGUAACCUGCCCUUGACUUUGGGAUAACUUCAGGAAACUGGGGCUAAUACCGGAUAGGAGCUCCUGCUGCAUGGUGGGGGUUGGAAAGUUUCGGCGGUUGGGGAUGGACUCGCGGCUUAUCAGCUUGUUGGUGGGGUAGUGGCUUACCACGGCUUUGACGGGUAGCCGGCCUGGGAGGGUGACCGGCCCCAUUGGGCCUGAGAUACGGCCCAGACUCCUACGGGAGGCAGCAGUGGGGAAUAUUGCACAAUGGGCGGAAGCCGGAUGCAGCAACGCCGCGUGCGGGAUGACGGCCUUCGGGUUGUAAACCGCUUUCGCCUGUGACGAAGCGUGAGUGACGGUAAUGGGUAAGGAAGCACCGGCUAACUACGUG
This 468-nucleotide ribosomal RNA is filed under the name uncultured bacterium. Its description in RNAcentral is "partial 16S ribosomal RNA". It matches the Rfam family "Bacterial small subunit ribosomal RNA", at positions 28 to 507 of the family's 1533-position model. The record is from RNAcentral.